CAUCAAAAUCCCAGUGGGACGACAUUUUGUGUAAUACUCAACCAGCAUGUCUGCUGCCAACAACCAUACUACCUUCAAAGUCACUUAAGUCUCUUGUCUUCUUCUUCCAACUUCCUCUAAACCAUGUCUACACGCUUAAGUGUAUUAGGUGUCUAUGUGAUUGGCUCUUAGAUAUUUGCUUUAAUAGUCAGUUGCAUAGUUGUACCUUAUGACACUGAGAGUAUAUUUGCUUGUCACAAAAGUACAAUUAACAUUACCCCAUGAAUUUUAUGUGAUUUAUAACAUGUUUUUUGUACAGCUGUUUACCAAGUCAGCUGUUAUUAGUUAAUUGGUAAUAAUUUGUAAAUUAUGUGUAUACUUACAAGGAUUUAUGCUGUAUAAUAAUUGAACAAUUACUGUACUUGUAAUAACAUUUUUAUGGCCCCCUUGGUGUAGGAAUUGCAACUGGAAAUGUUUUGCAUGAAGGUAUAAGGUUCGCACAUUUUCAGGGAUUAAAAUUCUCUGUCACUAUGACGGAUUUCCAUGAAUUGGUCUGCCAAAAGGCAGGCUUAGCACUGACACUAAAUGCUACAUAUAAAAUUUACCACGUUCAAAACCUUCAAACAUUGAUUUUUAAAAUAAUGUCUCUGUUUUUGUUUUGUUUGCUUUUUUGUUUUUGUUUUCUCCUGGGAGCAAACCCCUGUCUGUUCUUCUGGGAUUCUGGGACAACUACAGUAUAAUGAUAAAUUAUUGUCUGUUAAUGGGAAAGGUUUAUGCUAGAUGUUGUGAUGACUGUGAUAAAGCUUAAACCUUGAUAGAAUUAUACCCAUAAGUGGUUUUGCUGUUUGCACAUUAAGCAGCAACAUGAUAACAGUUCUUUAUCCAUGGUGGGGUUCCUUUAUUUUCUUCUUUUUUUAAUUACAGUUUUUGUCUCUCUCCUGUGCCCACACACACAACCACUUUGGUCUUUGUUUCAGAAAAACAGAUUUUCUUUGAUCUUUUAGCCAUUACUCUGGUGAGGAACACAAACUACAAAGGGAUGUUUUGUUACCCUAUGGUUAAUUGAGGGUGUUUCUGAAUGCAAAUGGCCAUGAAUGUGCACAAGCAUGGUGUUUUUAGAAUGUGUAGGACUGACAGCAGUUGAUACUGAUAUGCAUAUUAACGGAUAUGGAUUAUUGUUUUUUGUUUGUUUUUGUUUUUUACUUACACACAUUAAAUUUUGCAUUUAGAACUGAGGUCUUCAACUCAUUCCAGAAAGGGCUGAGACUGGUUUUCUUUGCAGCCAUCCUGUCCACCAGCUGGUUUCACUGAUUAACGUCACUUUGAGCAGAUGGAAUUAGUUGAUCAGUGAAAUCACCAGGUGGUUGCAAAGAAAACCAUCCUCUCAGCCCUUUCUGGAAUGAGUUGAAAACCUCUGAUUUAGAACCUUUUCUGAGCACAGUUUGAUGAGUAGCCUGGGUUUUUUUUUUUUCUUCUUUUUUAAAUCAGUGCUCUAUAGAUGUUUUUUUUUUUGUUGUUUUUUUUUGCUUGGGACAGAAACAAUUUUAAAUGGUCAAGUAUUACUUCAGAACACUAACACUGGCCUUUGGCUAAAUAGCUGUACAGUAUAAGCAUAUAGACCAGCUAAAAACUCAAACUGCGGAAGAAGGCUGCAGAAUGAGCAUUGAUGAAUUCAAAAGAAGAAAGAGUUCAGCAGGCCACAGGUGGAUAACCAUUUUUAUUGUGUAGUGUUUGUAAGUGAAUAAUUUGUUUAGUAGUGCAUUUGAUUUUUCUCAGCUGAAAUGUUUUCAUUAGCUUGCAGAGGUCAACCUUGUUAAACUAGUACAAUAGCAUACACAAUGUUGGGUGUUUAAGGUGUCACAGCAGUAGCCAGUAUAAAUAUUUUCUGUAUUUAAUAAAACGGCACUGAAACAAAUCUUACUUUAAAUGUGAAACAGCUAUUUAAAUUAAGGCGUCACAUGUUCAGUGUGACUUAUUUAUAUAUAUAUAUAUUUUUUCUAUCAGUGAUGUACUUCAUAUUUUGACCAUCUGUUUAUGUGAAAACAUGUUUUGUGAUUUUUUAAAAA
Molecule: long non-coding RNA, 2045 nt
Organism: Thalassophryne amazonica
Lineage: Eukaryota; Metazoa; Chordata; Actinopteri; Batrachoidiformes; Batrachoididae
Exons: 3
Source: RefSeq, a predicted model, not a curated record